This 259-nucleotide ribosomal RNA is filed under the name uncultured bacterium. Its description in RNAcentral is "partial 16S ribosomal RNA". It matches the Rfam family "Bacterial small subunit ribosomal RNA", at positions 795 to 1052 of the family's 1533-position model. The record is from RNAcentral.
CCACGCCCUAAACGAUGUCUACUAGUUGUCGGGUCUUAAUUGACUUGGUAACGCAGCUAACGCGUGAAGUAGACCGCCUGGGGAGUACGGUCGCAAGAUUAAAACUCAAAGGAAUUGACGGGGACCCGCACAAGCGGUGGAUGAUGUGGAUUAAUUCGAUGCAACGCGAAAAACCUUACCUACCCUUGACAUGUCAGGAAUCCUGGAGAGAUCCGGGAGUGCCCGAAAGGGAACCUGAACACAGGUGCUGCAUGGCUGU